RNAcentral lists this ribosomal RNA (775 nucleotides) under uncultured bacterium. RNAcentral's name for it is "bacterial SSU rRNA". It matches the Rfam family "Bacterial small subunit ribosomal RNA", at positions 62 to 816 of the family's 1533-position model. The record is from RNAcentral.
UCGAACGCGAAAGUCCCGCAAGGGAUGACUAGAGUGGCAAACGGGUGAGUAACGCGUGGGCGACCUACCUCAGAGUGGGGGAUAACCUUCCGAAAGGAGGGCUAAUACCGCAUGACAGCCCGUGUUUGGAUACAUGGGACUCAAAGCCGGGGAUCGCAAGACCUGGCGCUUGGAGAGGGGCCCGCGUCCGAUUAGCUAGUUGGUGGGGUAACGGCCCACCAAGGCUUCGAUCGGUAUCCGGCCUGAGAGGGCGGACGGACACACUGGGACUGAGACACGGCCCAGAUUCCUACGGGAGGCAGCAGUAGGGAAUUGUUCGCAAUGGGCGCAAGCCUGACGACGCAACGCCGCGUGGAGGAUGAAGACCUUCGGGUCGUAAACUCCUUUCGACCGAGAUGAAUACUCGCCCAUCUAAUACAUGGGCGAGCUGACAGUAUCGAGGGAAGAAGCCCCGGCUAACUCCGUGCCAGCAGCCGCGGUAAUACGGGGGGGGCAAGCGUUGUUCGGAAUUACUGGGCGUAAAGGGUUCGUAGGUGGCCGACUAAGUCAGACGUGAAAUCCCUCAGCUUAACUGGGGAACUGCGUCUGAUACUGGUUGGCUUGAGUGCAGGAGAGGAACGCGGAAUUCCAGGUGUAGCGGUGAAAUGCGUAGAUAUCUGGAGGAACACCGGUGGCGAAGGCGGCGUUCUGGACUGCAACUGACACUGAGGAACGAAAGCCAGGGGAGCAAACGGGAUUAGAUACCCCGGUAGUCCUGGCCCUAAACGAUGAAUGC